RNAcentral lists this ribosomal RNA (255 nucleotides) under uncultured bacterium. RNAcentral's name for it is "partial 16S ribosomal RNA". It matches the Rfam family "Bacterial small subunit ribosomal RNA", at positions 524 to 776 of the family's 1533-position model. The record is from RNAcentral.
UACGGAGGGUGCAAGCGUUAUCCGGAUUCACUGGGUUUAAAGCGUGCGCAGGCGGUCUCGCAAGCUGGGUGUGAAAGCCCCGGGCUCAACCUGGGAGGUGCAUUCAGGACUGCGAGGCUUGUGAGUGCGGCAGAGGGAGGUGGAAUUCCACGUGUAGCAGUGAAAUGCGUAGAGAUGUGGAGGAACACCGAUGGCGAAGGCAGCCCCCUGGGCUGAGAUUGACGCUCAGGCACGAAAGCGUGGGGAGCAAACAGG